UCAGAUCGCAGUCUGCAACCCGACUGCGUGAAGUCGGAAUCGCUAGUAAUCGCGGAUCAGCAUGCCGCGGUGAAUACGUUCCCGGGCCUUGUACACACCGCCCGUCACACCAUGAGAGUCGGGAACACCCGAAGUCCGUAGCCUAACCGCAAGGGGGGCGCGGCCGAAGGUGGGUUCGAUAAUUGGGGUGAAGUCGUAACAAGGUACC
Molecule: ribosomal RNA, 208 nt
Filed under: uncultured bacterium
Lineage: Bacteria
Description: partial 16S ribosomal RNA
Rfam family: Bacterial small subunit ribosomal RNA
Source: RNAcentral